AUUGAAUUCUGCGCUGUGGAACAUCUUGGUUUCAUUACGCAUCUGCUCAUUUCGAUUAUCUAAUAAGCUAUCUUGGAUCCUAAAUUGUUUCAUGCUGAUUCAGAGUAUUCUUACAUGACAACGCUCUACUUUCUUACGGAAGCACUAUGAGUAGUGUGUUCUGAUAUGCAAUUAGUUUUCCUAUAGUUAGCAAACCUGUGUACUGAGGACUGUUUCUUCUGGUUUGAUGCAGGCAGUAAGUACUGGAUGUUUUUCUGAGGAAGGUAGAAUGGCUACUCAAGAAAAAGAAAAAGAUAUUGCAAUGCUACUAAGAAAAGGGAAAUUCAAGGCCAUCUAUUACAGUAGCCAAAAAAGGCAAUAGUACCACCCAUCAAAACAAGAAGGCAUCCAAUGAACUAUUCAGAGGGAGAUUGGAAGGGAAAGAAGAAAUGGUGAGGGGGGUUGAGGAUACAAUAGAUGACACCUAUUUGCAAUAAUCUGCUGGCUCAAAUGUUGGCGGGAGUGUGGAUAUUCUGAUUGAUGGAUUUGUCCCUCCGGCUAGCAGUUGUUGCUCCUAUGUUUACUUUAGUGCGGCUUCUACGAUCAUUUUUCCCUCUCCUCCAGCUACUGAACAGAUUUUCUUCUGGUCAGCUCUCUGUUGCAUACCAGUUAGUAAAUUACCUGUUAUUGACUUAUCGUGCUUAAAAAAUUUCAGUGGGCAAUUUUGCUUGCUUCUCUAAAAGUAGCAUAUUAAAUGGUAGCAAGGAGGAUGCUCUUCCAGCUAUAAAUUUUUUGCAGACAUUUGUUGGUUUGAACUGUCCAAAGGUAAGCAAACUAAAUCAGAUUGUUGAGCUAUCAUCAUCUGCCUGCUCAAAUUAUUUGUGAUAACGAAUGUUUAAUGUUUUUGAACUAUAUGCAAAGCUUCUAUGUGUUCUCUUAAAGAAAUAUUCCAUAGUACUUAUCGACCACGAGAUACACUACAAAGAAACCUUUGGAGUUCAUUUUCUCCCUAUAUACUCUCGGGAUCUGUUUUGUUUCUUAUUUCUACAUUGGCAACUUCCUUGCUAUAUAGAACAUGAUGAUGUUGUAUUGAACUCCAUGCCUCAAUUAGUCUUUUAUGCUAGGUAGCAUCCCUCCUGUGCAGCGUGGUAUCUUGAAAAUUAUUUCUAUGCUGCGCCCACCAGCUAUGUUAUCAUCAAUCUGGCCCAUUACCCUCCUUGAGAUGCUAUGCUAUCUUAACGGGGAAAAAGCCCCCUGCACGAGAGUAGUCAAGAAGUACGCGAACAGAAUACUGAUGCACUGGCAAAUGGCAGAAAGUGUGCUUCUGUGGCACAAAAGGGGAAACUAUUGUGGGCUGUGGCUGGGCCAUCCUAUUUUUUUUUGUAGAAAAGCAUGUGGCAAUCAUGGCUUCUUAAUUCGGCACCGUCAAAAGUGAUUUCGAAUGAGAUGACAAUGUUAAGGUGUGAUCCCGAGUGCGUAGGUUUGAGUGGCAUCAGUUUUUGACACUGUUGGUGAUAAGGUUUCCGUGGUUGACUAUGUGAUACAGGUGUGCUCCCAUCAUGCCCACCUCACUGCUAUUUUUCUUUGGGCAUGUUGAUAGAUGGUAUGGAUUAUUCCUGACCACUUCACUGAGUAGCUCAUCUAUUUAAAAUCCUCAUAGGAAUCCUAAUAUAUUGUCUGUGUCCUUCCAUAGGAAUUGGUUUAGUUCUUCCUAUUUUUGGAUUUAGUUGAUCGGUGUGGCUGAAUAAUUCCUUCCUAAUAGUUGUCCAUUCACUCUUCGAUCAUGACGUUUCUCAGCUUUGUCGUCAUAUGCGAUGGUCCACUGUUAACCAUGUGGAUUUUUAAUGUUAGUUGUACAAUACAAGAAUAUACAGUUUGCAUUUUUCUUGCAGGUAGGUCUCAAGAGCCAAUGAAAAUGGAAUCUUCCUAAUAUAGAGUGUAGUGACAUUGUCGGUGUGACCAUGGAGUUCCAAAGCCAUCAAUUCCCGUUGUAGCUCGGCAGUUCCAAUAUAAUUUUUAAUUUUUUUUAAUUUAAGUAUUCAGUAUUUGACAUACAAGAUGCAGAUUUUAAAUCAACAAAAAAUGAUGUUGUCUA
Molecule: non-coding RNA, 2074 nt
Organism: Lolium perenne
Lineage: Eukaryota; Viridiplantae; Streptophyta; Magnoliopsida; Poales; Poaceae
Source: RefSeq, a predicted model, not a curated record